Molecule: ribosomal RNA, 472 nt
Filed under: uncultured bacterium
Lineage: Bacteria
Description: partial 16S ribosomal RNA
Rfam family: Bacterial small subunit ribosomal RNA
Source: RNAcentral
GACGAACGCUGGCGGCGUGCUUAACACAUGCAAGUCGAACGCUGAAGCUUGGUGCUUGCACUGGGUGGAUGAGUGGCGAACGGGUGAGUAAUACGUGAGUAACCUGCCCUUGACUCUGGGAUAAGCCUUGGAAACUGGGUCUAAUACUGGAUACGACCUUUCACCGCAUGGUUGUGUGUGGAAAGGGUUUUACUGGUUUUGGAUGGGCUCACGGCCUAUCAGCUUGUUGGUGGGGUAAUGGCUCACCAAGGCGACGACGGGUAGCCGGCCUGAGAGGGUGACCGGCCACACUGGGACUGAGACACGGCCCAGACUCCUACGGGAGGCAGCAGUGGGGAAUAUUGCACAAUGGGCGGAAGCCUGAUGCAGCGACGCCGCGUGAGGGAUGACGGCCUUCGGGUUGUAAACCUCUUUCAGCACGGAAGAAGCGAAAGUGACGGUACGUGCAGAAGAAGCGCCGGCUAACUACGUG